Regulatory RNA element from Firmicutes bacterium CAG:137, 93 nucleotides. It matches the Rfam family "SAM riboswitch aptamer (S box leader)". From Rfam's summary of the family: The SAM riboswitch is found upstream of a number of genes which code for proteins involved in methionine or cysteine biosynthesis in Gram-positive bacteria. Lineage: Bacteria; Bacillati; Bacillota. The record is from Rfam.
GCCUUAUCAAGAGUGGCGGAGGGAACGGCCCGAUGAAGCCCGGCAACCUGUUGAUUCAAGGUGCCAAAUCCGGCGUCAGACGAAAGAUGAGGG